RNAcentral lists this ribosomal RNA (253 nucleotides) under uncultured bacterium. Its description in RNAcentral is "partial 16S ribosomal RNA". It matches the Rfam family "Bacterial small subunit ribosomal RNA", at positions 524 to 776 of the family's 1533-position model. The record is from RNAcentral.
GACAGAGGGUGCAAACGUUGUUCGGAAUCACUGGGCGUAAAGCGCACGUAGGCGGAUUGCUAAGUCAGGGGUGAAAUCCUGGAGCUCAACUCCAGAACUGCCUUUGAUACUGGCGAUCUCGAGUUCGGGAGAGGUGAGUGGAACUGCGAGUGUAGAGGUGAAAUUCGUAGAUAUUCGCAAGAACACCAGUGGCGAAGGCGGCUCACUGGCCCGAUACUGACGCUGAGGCACGAAAGCGUGGGGAGCAAACAGG